UUUAUUGUAAGUUAAUUAAGAUUAAUUCUGUCUUUUAUUUUGAAAUUAGUUAAAUUUUUAUAGUAUUAAAUAUAAGUUUUUGCGUGAAGUUUUUUUUAUCUAAAAGAUAAAUUUAUUUAUUUAUUUGUAGUUUUUAAUUUUUUGUAUUACAUAGUUGUAGAUCUUAGUUAUUGGUGUUAAAGAAUUGUUUAAGGCUGUGCCAGCAAACGCGGUUAUACAGUUUAUUCAAGUUAAUUUUUUUUGGUUAUGUAUUUAUUUAUAUUUUUUGGGAUUAAUUUAUUUUUAUUAGGUGAAAUUCUAAUUUUGAAUAUUUUCUCUUGGUUAAAGAUUAUAUGAAGUUUAGGAAUUAAACUAGGAUUAGAUACCCUAUU
This 371-nucleotide ribosomal RNA is filed under the name Physomerus grossipes. Its description in RNAcentral is "partial small subunit ribosomal RNA". The record is from RNAcentral. Lineage: Eukaryota; Metazoa; Arthropoda; Insecta; Hemiptera; Coreidae.